Molecule: ribosomal RNA, 253 nt
Filed under: uncultured bacterium
Lineage: Bacteria
Description: partial 16S ribosomal RNA
Rfam family: Bacterial small subunit ribosomal RNA
Source: RNAcentral
UACGUAGGGGGCUAGCGUUGUCCGGAAUCAUUGGGCGUAAAGAGCGUGUAGGCGGUCCGGUAAGUCCGCUGUGAAAGUCGGGGGCUCAACCCUUGAAUGCCGGCCGAUACUGCCGGGCUAGAGUCCGGAAGAGGUGAGUGGAAUUCCUGGUGUAGCGGUGAAAUGCGCAGAUAUCAGGAGGAACACCGAUGGCGAAGGCAGCUCACUGGGACGGUACUGACGCUGAGACGCGAAAGCGUGGGGAGCGAACAGG